This 481-nucleotide ribosomal RNA is filed under the name uncultured bacterium. Its description in RNAcentral is "partial 16S ribosomal RNA". It matches the Rfam family "Bacterial small subunit ribosomal RNA", at positions 28 to 505 of the family's 1533-position model. The record is from RNAcentral.
GAUGAACGCUGGCGGCGUGCCUAACACAUGCAAGUCGAACGGAGUCGUUUUGGAAAUCUCUUCGGAGAUGGAAUUCUCGACUUAGUGGCGGACGGGUGAGUAACGCGUGAGCAAUCUGCCUUUAAGAGGGGGAUAACAGUCGGAAACGGCUGCUAAUACCGCAUAAAGCAUUAAAUUCGCAUGUUUUUGAUGCCAAAGGAGCAAUCCGCUUUUAGAUGAGCUCGCGUCUGAUUAGCUAGUUGGCGGGGUAACGGCCCACCAAGGCGACGAUCAGUAGCCGGACUGAGAGGUUGAACGGCCACAUUGGGACUGAGACACGGCCCAGACUCCUACGGGAGGCAGCAGUGGGGAAUAUUGCGCAAUGGGGGAAACCCUGACGCAGCAACGCCGCGUGAUUGAAGAAGGCCUUCGGGUUGUAAAGAUCUUUAAUCAGGGACGAAACAAAUGACGGGACCUGAAGAAUAAGCUCCGGCUAACUACG